Molecule: transfer RNA, 73 nt
Filed under: Stegodyphus mimosarum
Lineage: Eukaryota; Metazoa; Arthropoda; Arachnida; Araneae; Eresidae
Rfam family: tRNA
About the family: Transfer RNA (tRNA) molecules are approximately 80 nucleotides in length.
Source: Rfam by way of RNAcentral
GCCUUCUUGGUGUAAAGGACAGCACGCUCGACGCGUAUUCGAGAAGUCCGUGGUUCGAGUCCCGUCGAAGGCG